This is a long non-coding RNA of Syngnathoides biaculeatus (alligator pipefish), 1397 nucleotides long. RefSeq lists it as uncharacterized. Lineage: Eukaryota; Metazoa; Chordata; Actinopteri; Syngnathiformes; Syngnathidae. The transcript is spliced from 4 exons. The record is from RefSeq and is a predicted model, not a curated record.
GUUCGUUGAUCUUCAUGUCCCGUUCGUGUGCUCUGGUAUCCCUGAUUGAACCUGUGUGUACCGACCUUCGUCCGUUCUCCGACCAACCUUGCUGGAUCUUCGAGUCUGUGUAACCACCCAACAGUAGGGCCACCUUCUCAUCAGCGCUUUGAAUCUUGGAGGGCGAGAGGCUGUACAACAUCGCCUUGAAACCCACCGCGACAGCCGAGCUGUUCUGGAGCUACAACGAACGCAAGGCUUCGGUCGUGACAACAACACAAGAUCUUACAGUUCAGCCAUUUGAAGAUCUGGACCAUUUGGACUGGAUUUACCUAUCGGGGCACAUAACCAAAGUCCAAGAGACCUCCAGAGUGAGAGGAGGUGAUAGCGGGAACCACACCCUCCCCCCGCAGAGUCACGGCCAGGGUCAUCUUCUGACAACGCACCUCCAAAGUCUCACAGUCCGAUGCCCCGGAGGGAGUUAAGAAGCGAAAAGGGGCCAUAAAUAUCCAGCAGUGAUGACUUCAACUUGGAAACGAGCACAAAAACAAUGGUGGCAUGAAAGUGUUGUCGAGUUGAGUCAUGGCAGCAGGAGAAAUUGAAGACAUUCUUGAGAAAUAUGCGCAAUUAGCCGGCAGGAAUAAUUAAAAAUCGAAAGCAACAAUGAUAAAAGACAUUAUAUACAUAAAACACACCAAUCGAUGUGACGCAGUUAUUAGGCUUUUAUAAUUUUUUCAACCAAACCUUCUUGAGAAACCAUCCUUGAGAAACAUGCACAAUUAGCCGGCAGGCAGAAUUAGAAAUCGAAAACGACACCAUGAAAAACAUUAUCCGCAAAUAUAUAUAUAUACACAACACACCAAUCGAUGUGAUGCAGUUAUUAGGCUGUGAUAUUUUUUUUUUCAACCAAACUACAGCUUCGUGAAUAGAAAAGAAGAUAUCUUUAAUAUAAAAGGGGAUGCGUCAGGAAGGGCAUCCGGCGUAAAAACUGUGCCAAACAAAUAUGAGCGUUCAUCUGAGAUGACACGUUGUGGCGACCCCUAACGGGACAAGCUGAAAGGAAGUUGUUGUUGUUUGUAGAAUCAGCUUUUCAUGGCAAAGUGUGCAUACUAUCCACAAAUUAACUACAACAUCCAUCCAUUUUCUUAUGGAAAUUAUGUUGUCCGGUGUGUUGAAUGUAGAACUACAACAUCCAUCCAUCCGUCCAUUUUUUUUGCCGCUUAUCCUCACUAGGGUCGCAGGGAGUGCUGGACCCUAUCCCAGCUGUCAAGGUGCAGGAGGCGGGGUACGCCCUGAACUGGUUGCCAGCCAAUCGCAGGGCACAAAGAGACAAACAGUCGCACUCCCAAUCACACCUAUGGGCAAUUUAGAGCGUCCAAUUAAUGUUGCGUGUUUUUGGGAUGUGGGAGGAAACUGGA